This 1184-nucleotide ribosomal RNA is filed under the name denitrifying bacterium enrichment culture clone NOB_2_F12. Its description in RNAcentral is "bacterial SSU rRNA". It matches the Rfam family "Bacterial small subunit ribosomal RNA", at positions 293 to 1503 of the family's 1533-position model. The record is from RNAcentral.
UGAGAGGGUGAGUCCCUCGCAAUGGCACUGAAACACCGGCCAUACACUACCGGUGGCAGCAGUAGGGAAUAUUGGGCAUGGGCGAAAGCUGACCCAGCAACGCCGCGUGCACGAUGAAGCUCGGGUCGUAAAGUGCUUUUCUGAGGAAUGAGUAAGGACAGUACCUCAGGAAUAAGCCUCGGCUAACUACGUGCCAGCAGCCGCGGUAAAACGUAGGAGGCAAGCGUAUCCGGAUUUACUGGGCGUAAAGCGUGUGUAGGCGGUUCGGCAAGUUGGAUGUGAAAGCUCCUGGCUUAACUAGGAGAGGUCGUUCAAUACUACCGAACUUGAGGGCAUCAGAGGAAGGUGGAAUUCCCGGUGUAGUGGUGAAAUGCGUAGAUAUCGGGAGGAACACCAGUGGCGAAGGCGGCCUUCUGGGAUGUUCCUGACGCUCAGACACGAAAGCUAGGGUAGCGAACGGGAUUAGAGACCCCGGUAGUCCUAGCAGUAAACGAUGUAGACUUGGUGUCGGAGGUGUCAAAACCUUCGGUAUCGUAGCUAACGCGAUAAGUCUACCGCCUGGGGACUGCGGCCGCAAGGUUGAAACUCAAAGGAAUUGACGGGGGCCCGCACAAGCGGUGGAUGAUGUGGAUUAAUUCGAUGCAACGCGAAGAACCUUACCUACCCUUGACAUGCCAGGAACUUGCCAGAGAUGGCUUGGUGCCCGAAAGGGAACCUGGACACAGGUGCUGCAUGGCUGUCGUCAGCUCGUGUCGUGAGAUGUUGGGUUAAGUCCCGCAACGAGCGCAACCCUUGCCAUUAGUUGCUACGAAAGGGCACUCUAAUGGGACUGCCGGUGACAAACCGGAGGAAGGUGGGGAUGACGUCAAGUCCUCAUGGCCCUUAUGGGUAGGGCUUCACACGUCAUACAAUGGUCGGUACAGAGGGCAGCCAACCCGCGAGGGGGAGCCAAUCCCAGAAAACCGAUCGUAGUCCGGAUUGUAGUCUGCAACUCGACUACAUGAAGUCGGAAUCGCUAGUAAUCGCAGGUCAGCAUACUGCGGUGAAUACGUUCCCGGGCCUUGUACACACCGCCCGUCACACCAUGGGAGUGGGUUGCUCCAGAAGUAGGUAGCCUAACCGCAAGGAGGGCGCUUACCACGGUGGGAUUCAUGACUGGGGUGAAGUCGUAACAAGGUAGCCGU